This 1223-nucleotide ribosomal RNA is filed under the name metagenome. Its description in RNAcentral is "SSU rRNA". It matches the Rfam family "Eukaryotic small subunit ribosomal RNA", at positions 729 to 1823 of the family's 1831-position model. The record is from RNAcentral.
GGCGCGGGCCAACGGGGCGGGCGUCGCCUCCGACGAAAUGGUCCGUCACGCUUUCGCCCUUCGUAUCGGUUCUCCGGUGCGGGGGGCUGUGUCGGUCAGUUUACUUUGAAGAAAUUUGAGUGUUCCAAGCGGGCAAUAUUUGCAGUGAAGACAUUAGCAUGGGAUAAUAGAAUAUGACCAGGGGUCUUACCUUCGUUGGUUCGUAAGGCUCGGGUAAUGAUUAAUAGGGACGGUCGGGGUCGCUAGUACCGAGUGGCUAGAGGUGAAAUUCUGUGACCCAUUCGAGACUAACAAGAGCGAAAGCAUUCGACAAGGAUGUUUUCUUUAAUCAAGAACGAAAGUUGGGGGAUCGAAGAUGAUCAGAUACCGUCGUAGUCCCAACCGUAAACUAUGUCGGCCCGAGAUCGGAAGGCGUUACAUGGAUGACCCUUCCGGCAUCGUGUGAGAAAUCACAAGUAUUCAGACUCCGGGGGGAGUAUGGUCGCAAGGCUGAAACUUAAAGGAAUUGACGGAAGGGCACCACCAGGAGUGGAGUCUGCGGCUUAAUUUGACUCAACACGGGGAAACUUACCAAGUCCGAACACGACGAGGAUUGACAGAUUGAUAGCUCUUUCUUGAUUUUGUGAAGAGUGGUGCAUGGCCGUUUUUAGUUGGUGGAGUGAUCUGUCUGGUUAAUUCCGUUAACGAACGAGACCUUAACCUACUAAAUAGAGGCACGAACGCGGGGGUUCGGAGCGGCCCUUCGCGGGGUCGGUUCGGAUCUCCACGAUUAUUCCAUUCGUGCGAUAUUCACUUCUUAGAGGGACCAUUCGUCCUCCAAGCGAACGGAAGUUUAAGGCAAAAACAGGUCUGUGAUGCCCUCAGAUGUUUUGGGCUGCACGCGCAUUACACUGUUGGGUUCAACGAGUCUAACGAUCCCUAACCCGAAAUGGGCGGGGCAAGCUUUUAAUGCUUAACGUGAUGGGGACUGUGUCUUGUAAUUAUUACACACGAACGAGGAAUUCCUAGUAAGUGCGAGUCAUCAGCUCGCGCUGAUUACGUCCCUGCCCUUUGUACACACCGCCCGUCGCUCCUACCGAUUGAACGGCCCGAUGAGAACUCGAGAUGGAAGGCGUACGACCUCCUGAAAGGGCGGGUCGCGCUCCGUUCAGAACCUGUUCAAAUCUUGUCGUUUAGAGGAAGGAGAAGUCGUAACAAGGUUUCCGUAGGUGAACCUGCGGAAG